AAGGAGGCCGGCGAGCUGCGUGGGUUUGUGCAUGGGCGCUUGUGGUUCGGGGCCCUGUGCUGGCACCGGGGGCGCCGGGUUGGCGACUUUUGCACUCUUGGCAUUGGGUGGGCGGCAUCUUGGGGGUCGCAUGAGCCAGUGGCAUCAUGCCCGUGGGCGCUGGGGUCAGCGUCGCGGCUUUUCCGGACGGACGUUCGUCGGCCAGGAGGAAGGGCGGAAAGCACAUCUCGGAAAGGUGGAAAGACUAUCUCCCAGUUGAACAGCGGAUGCCUGGGACUCGUUUCAUUGCUUUCAAAGUUCCUUAAAAAAAGAGUUUUGAAAAGAAUCUUGCUCCAGAAGAACGUUUCUCCCCCUUGGAUUUCUUAACAAAAUCCAAGGACAGAAUGAAGAACUUGGGCUGAUUAUUGACUUAACAUAUAUUCGCCGCUGUUAUAAGCCAGAGGACUUACCAGAAACUAUUCCUUAUUUAAAAAUUUGUACAAUUGGGCAUCAGGUGUCAGAUGACGACGCUAGUUUUAAAUUCCAGUGUGCUGUUAAUGGGUUUCUGAAAGAACAUAAAAAUAACGACAGACUUAUUGGUGUCCACUGUACCCAUGGUUUAAACAGGACUGGCUACCACAUCUGCAGGAAGCAGAUGGCAGGCAGAUAAGGCAGAGGCAAAUGAACCCAAUUACCGGUCCGCGGGACCCAGUUACCGGACUGCCUGACGCCAGCGAUGCCGGUUUUGAAAUAAUGCAAGAAGAAGAAUGCAAGACCUUUACCACUUUGAUCCUUAUUACCACUCCCUGGACUGAGAUGGCCGCAUGAGGGGCCAGGAGGCUAGCCGGGUCUUCCAGGCGUGUGUGGGCAUCCUGUGUGCAGCCAGCGUCCCCGAGGCCACGCUCGGCCCAUCAUCACUGAGUGAAGCUGUGCCGCGACAGCACAGCCGACAUUUUUCUGGCGCUGUGAGGACCUGUGUGCAUUGCAGGAUUCGGUGCCUCUGCCCGCCGUGGGCGCCUCCCUGUGGGAGGGCCUGCCGGACUUCAACACCCACCACCUGCGCAGGGUGGACUGGGCGCCGCCCCUGAGCACCCUCUGCCCCCGAUCUGUAUCCAGAGCUUCUUCCAGCCAUGGCUUGGCGAGACGGGUUCUGACAGAAAUAAAGUUUCCAGAAGUUGUGUUCCUGCAAUGAGAAAUAAAGAUGUGACCUUCCAGUUGUGUAAAGCUCUUAGACGCUGUGUAAGUGCGUCAGGUGCGCUAAGGAACCUGGAACUAAGUGGGCUAGUUGUGAGAGAAAGAGACGUAACUAUGUUAACAAAGGUCCAUGAGAAUUUCCUGUGACUGUGACAGUAGAGAGUCCUUCCUCCUCAGAAAUUGAAGAGGUCGAUGAUUCCUCAGAAAGUGUUCAGGAAGAGCCAGAGAAAAUCCAUUUGAAACAAGAAGCAUUGCCGGUACAAAGGAAAACCUGGAGGAGUGACUAAAGCAGUUAAAGGAGGAAAGAGUAAUAAGACUGAAGGCUGAUAAACGAGUCAGUGAGGCUUGGGCAGCUGGCCACAAUGGCUGGUACAGAUCAGUCAGAUUUUCAUUUACUAGGUCGUCCCUAGAUGAAUUCUACUGUUAGUAGUCCAUGUAAAGAAGAAAAGGGACUUGAAGAAGAAAAAUCAGAAUCAAAACAGGGUGCCCCAGGACAAAUGAAAAAU
This is a non-coding RNA of Globicephala melas (long-finned pilot whale), 1679 nucleotides long. NCBI's taxonomy places the organism in Eukaryota, Metazoa, Chordata, Mammalia, Artiodactyla, Delphinidae. The record is from RefSeq and is a predicted model, not a curated record.